This 572-nucleotide long non-coding RNA is filed under the name Pongo abelii (Sumatran orangutan). RNAcentral describes it as "lncRNA (ENSPPYG00000040108.1)". Lineage: Eukaryota; Metazoa; Chordata; Mammalia; Primates; Hominidae. The record is from RNAcentral.
AGGAUACAGAGAGCCAAGCUGACGUUUUCAACCUGCGACUGCUCGGAUUUUGGUGUUUUGGGGGAGUGCGACUGGGUCCUGGAACCAAUCCCCAGGGGAUAUGGAGAGUCACCGGUACCUUGGCUCAUCUGUUGGAAAAGAAUGUGUUUCUGCAGGGCACCAAAUGACGAAGAACUAUAAUGACUCCUUGCCGUAAACUGAAGGUGUGCUUCAAGGCUCCGUAUGGAUGGAGAGAGCAAGAGAAAGAGGAUAUAAAAUUUGUGAAACACCUAGGAACUGGACAGAUCAGAGUGAACUGAGGACCACGGAAGGAUUAAACCAAAAGUGGAAAGAGCUCGUGUCUGGGGGCCCCACUCUCAGGGAGGAAGCGUUGAGCAGUGGCUGGAGGAAGCAGCAGACAGUUCUGGGGCACAUGGAGCCCCCCUCCUGCCCCUCUACUCCUCUUACACCAGAGAGAGCUAACAAGACUGCAGGUGGCACUUUUCCCUGAAGAAAUCACCGAAACUCUCCCCGCCCGCCGCCGUGCUUCCCUUGGCCUGUCUUCGGUGACAGCAAGGGCAUCUACAAGCCAG